Molecule: ribosomal RNA, 678 nt
Filed under: Klebsiella sp. RLT01
Lineage: Bacteria; Pseudomonadati; Pseudomonadota; Gammaproteobacteria; Enterobacterales; Enterobacteriaceae
Description: Raoultella sp. RLT01 partial 23S ribosomal RNA
Rfam family: Bacterial large subunit ribosomal RNA
Source: RNAcentral
UCAUCUUCGGGGGUAGAGCACUGUUUCGGCUAGGGGGUCAUCCCGACUUACCAACCCGAUGCAAACUACGAAUACCGAAGAAUGUUAUCACGGGAGACACACGGCGGGUGCUAACGUCCGUCGUGAAGAGGGAAACAACCCAGACCGCCAGCUAAGGUCCCAAAGUCAUGGUUAAGUGGGAAACGAUGUGGGAAGGCACAGACAGCCAGGAUGUUGGCUUAGAAGCAGCCAUCAUUUAAAGAAAGCGUAAUAGCUCACUGGUCGAGUCGGCCUGCGCGGAAGAUGUAACGGGGCUAAACCAUGCACCGAAGCUGCGGCAGCGACACUAUGUGUUGUUGGGUAGGGGAGCGUUCUGUAAGCCGUUGAAGGUGGCCUGUGAGGGUUGCUGGAGGUAUCAGAAGUGCGAAUGCUGACAUAAGUAACGAUAAAGCGGGUGAAAAGCCCGCUCGCCGGAAGACCAAGGGUUCCUGUCCAACGUUAAUCGGGGCAGGGUGAGUCGACCCCUAAGGCGAGGCCGAAAGGCGUAGUCGAUGGGAAACAGGUUAAUAUUCCUGUACUCGGUGUUACUGCGAAGGGGGGACGGAGAAGGCUAUGUUAGCCGGGCGACGGUUGUCCCGGUUUAAGCAUGUAGGCGGGAAGUUUAGGUAAAUCCGGACUUCUUUUAACGCUGAGGUGUGA